This 59-nucleotide transfer RNA is filed under the name Macrolenostreptus orestes. Its description in RNAcentral is "tRNA-Ser". Lineage: Eukaryota; Metazoa; Arthropoda; Diplopoda; Spirostreptida; Spirostreptidae. The record is from RNAcentral.
GAGUUAUAAUCUAUUAAGCCGCUAACUUAAUUACUAACAAUAAUACUGUUAAUAACUCU